AAUGAACGUUGGCGGCGUGGAUUAGGCAUGCAAGUCGAGCGGGUAGUCUUUUGCUUGCAAAAGACGAAAGCGGCGAAAGGGAGAGUAACACGUGGAUCACCUACCCUCGGGCCCGGGAUAGCGGCGGGAAACCGCCGGUAAUACCGGAUAACGUCCCCGGACCAAAGGUGCGAUUCCGUCUGAGGAUGGGUCCGCGUCCUAUUAGCUAGUUGGUGGAGUAAUAGCCCACCAAGGCAAUGAUGGGUAGCGGGUGUGAGAGCACGACCCGCCUCACUGGGACUGAGAUACUGCCCAGACACCUACGGGUGGCUGCAGUCGAGAAUCUUCGGCAAUGGGCGCAAGCCUGACCGAGCGACGCCGCGUGCGGGAUGAAGGCCUUCGGGUUGUAAACCGCUGUCAGAGGGGCGGAAAUGCAUCAGGGUUCUCCCUGGUGUUUGACUUAACCUCAGAGGAAGCACGGGCUAAGUUCGUGC
RNAcentral lists this ribosomal RNA (473 nucleotides) under uncultured bacterium. Its description in RNAcentral is "bacterial SSU rRNA". It matches the Rfam family "Bacterial small subunit ribosomal RNA", at positions 29 to 508 of the family's 1533-position model. The record is from RNAcentral.